This 479-nucleotide ribosomal RNA is filed under the name uncultured bacterium. RNAcentral's name for it is "partial 16S ribosomal RNA". It matches the Rfam family "Bacterial small subunit ribosomal RNA", at positions 32 to 523 of the family's 1533-position model. The record is from RNAcentral.
AAUCAACGCUGGCGGCGUGCCUAACACAUGCAAGUCGAACGAGAAAGGGGCUUCGGCCCUGAGUAGAGUGGCGGACGGGUGAGUAACACGUGGGUGAUCUACCCUCCAGUGGGGGAUAACACAUCGAAAGGUGUGCUAAUACCGCAUGGAGUUCCGGUUGUCGCGAUCGGAAUGAAAGCAGCAAUGUGCUGGAGGAGGAGCCCGCGCCGGAUUAGCUAAUUGGUGGGGUAAUGGCCUACCAAGGCAACGAUCCGUAGCCGGCCUGAAAGGGUGACCGGCCACACUGGAACUGAGACACGGUCCAGACUCCUACGGGAGGCAGCAGUGGGGAAUUUUGCGCAAUGGGGGAAACCCUGACGCAGCAACGCCGCGUGGACGAUGAAGGCCUUUGGGUCGUAAAGUCCUGUCAGCAGGGAAAAACACAAUGAUGGUACCUGCAGAGGAAGCUCCGGCUAACUUCGUGCCAGCAGCCGCCGCAG